UGAUGACGAGGCACUGCGGUGCUGAAGCAACAAAUGCCCUGCUUCCAGGAAAAGCCUCUAAGCAUCAGGUAACAUCAAAUCGUACCCCAAACCGACACAGGUGGUCAGGUAGAGAAUACCAAGGCGCUUGAGAGAACUCGGGUGAAGGAACUAGGCAAAAUGGUGCCGUAACUUCGGGAGAAGGCACGCUGAUAUGUAGGUGAAGUCCCUCGCGGAUGGAGCUGAAAUCAGUCGAAGAUACCAGCUGGCUGCAACUGUUUAUUAAAAACACAGCACUGUGCAAACACGAAAGUGGACGUAUACGGUGUGACGCCUGCCCGGUGCCGGAAGGUUAAUUGAUGGGGUUAGCGCAAGCGAAGCUCUUGAUCGAAGCCCCGGUAAACGGCGGCCGUAACUAUAACGGUCCUAAGGUAGCGAAAUUCCUUGUCGGGUAAGUUCCGACCUGCACGAAUGGCGUAAUGAUGGCCAGGCUGUCUCCACCCGAGACUCAGUGAAAUUGAACUCGCUGUGAAGAUGCAGUGUACCCGCGGCAAGACGGAAAGACCCCGUGAACCUUUACUAUAGCUUGACACUGAACAUUGAGCCUUGAUGUGUAGGAUAGGUGGGAGGCUUUGAAGUGUGGACGCCAGUCUGCAUGGAGCCGACCUUGAAAUACCACCCUUUAAUGUUUGAUGUUCUAACGUUGACCCGUAAUCCGGGUUGCGGACAGUGUCUGGUGGGUAGUUUGACUGGGGCGGUCUCCUCCUAAAGAGUAACGGAGGAGCACGAAGGUUGGCUAAUCCUGGUCGGACAUCAGGAGGUUAGUGCAAUGGCAUAAGCCAGCUUGACUGCGAGCGUGACGGCGCGAGCAGGUGCGAAAGCAGGUCAUAGUGAUCCGGUGGUUCUGAAUGGAAGGGCCAUCGCUCAACGGAUAAAAGGUACUCCGGGGAUAACAGGCUGAUACCGCCCAAGAGUUCAUAUCGACGGCGGUGUUUGGCACCUCGAUGUCGGCUCAUCACAUCCUGGGGCUGAAGUAGGUCCCAAGGGUAUGGCUGUUCGCCAUUUAAAGUGGUACGCGAGCUGGGUUUAGAACGUCGUGAGACAGUUCGGUCCCUAUCUGCCGUGGGCGCUGGAGAACUGAGGGGGGCUGCUCCUAGUACGAGAGGACCGGAGUGGACGCAUCACUGGUGUUCGGGUUGUCAUGCCAAUGGCACUGCCCGGUAGCUAAAUGCGGAAGAGAUAAGUGCUGAAAGCAUCUAAGCACGAAACUUGCCCCGAGAUGAGUUCUCCCUGACUCCUUGAGAGUCCUGAAGGAACGUUGAAGACGACGACGUUGAUAGGCCGGGUGUGUAAGCGCAGCGAUGCGUUGAGCUAACCGGUACUAAUGAACCGUGAGG
This 1376-nucleotide ribosomal RNA is filed under the name Escherichia coli. Its description in RNAcentral is "partial 23S ribosomal RNA". It matches the Rfam family "Bacterial large subunit ribosomal RNA", at positions 1564 to 2916 of the family's 2925-position model. The record is from RNAcentral. Lineage: Bacteria; Pseudomonadati; Pseudomonadota; Gammaproteobacteria; Enterobacterales; Enterobacteriaceae.